AAAUUAUUUUUUGCUUUGUUCAAAUAAGGUUUUCUAAUAAAUUAUGUUUUUAUCAGAUAUGACAGAAUCUUUUUUAAAAUCUCUUCAAUAUGCUUUUAUUGCUUUUGAGAGGUUUUGUUACUUUGAGUAAAAUUAAGUGUUCAUAACAGACGGGUAGUCAUGAUUGAGUUCAUUGUGU
Molecule: ribosomal RNA, 178 nt
Filed under: Plasmodium falciparum (malaria parasite P. falciparum)
Lineage: Eukaryota; Apicomplexa; Aconoidasida; Haemosporida; Plasmodiidae
Description: partial small subunit ribosomal RNA
Source: RNAcentral